RNAcentral lists this long non-coding RNA (1354 nucleotides) under Salvia miltiorrhiza (redroot sage). Its description in RNAcentral is "long non-coding RNA (SMIL_LNC007994)". The record is from RNAcentral. Lineage: Eukaryota; Viridiplantae; Streptophyta; Magnoliopsida; Lamiales; Lamiaceae.
UAAUAAUAUAUCUCUCUCUCACUAUUCCCCUUAUCUGCGCCGCGCCCCCUCCCCUCCCAUCUCACUAUCUCUCUCUCAGAUUUCAUCCCUCUCUCUCAGCCCUAGGUCCCGCCGCCCAGCCACUUUGCUCCAUCGCCGGAGCCCGGCAGCUCCAUCGCGGCCAACCGCCAUCUUCUCCCUCCUCUCCCUUUUCUUUCUAUCACUUUCUCUCUUCUCACACCCAACGCACACACCCAGAUCCGCACUCAAAUCAGCGGCGUGGGUGCCGCCGCUCGUCCUUCCCGGCAAAGCAACGUCGAUAAGCCGCUGACACGCCAGGCUCUCCCUUCUCUCUCUCGGCGGCAUAACCGCCUCAUCUCCUUUACCCCUCUGACUUAGAUCGGCGACGGUGAGAGCCUCCGCCGUCUGAGCCCUAGCCCCAAUCACGGCUCCCACAGAAUCCUUCGGCCGCCGCCACCGCUCGUUCUCCCCUUCAAAUCUUCAACCGACAGCAGCAGAGUCGCGGCCGCCGCCGUCCGUCUGCCUUGGUACAGCCUCAUCGGCGAUGCUGUCACUCAAGGUAAGCUUCAAUCUACGAUUCCACUCUUCCGAGUUGCGAGUAUGUUAACUCAGUUCUCGGUCUUUUUGUUUGCGUAGGGAAAGAGAGCAGCACAGAUCUGGUGGCCUUGGGGUGGUUGAAGUGGAGGAAGCCGCGCGGAGAGGUGGAGGUGCCGAGGUACUGCGAUAAGGCGCCGGAGACUACUAUUAUAAAAGGGUGUUAAAGCUCAUAUUUUCCUUUCAAACUCAGACGAAAAUCUGCAUCCUAAUCAUUCUUCUCCUGAUUUUCUUCUGCUGGUAGCUUUUGGUGUUAUAUUCUUGGCGAUUCAUCUUCUUUAUAGCUUUGAGAAAUCGCUUGUGUAGUUUGCCCGCUAGAUGUUCGACAGAAUGCUUGAUAGAGUGUUCUCUUUUCUUCAAUCCUUUUUUCUUAUUUUCUGCUGCAUUUUUUUUAAUACCAAGCUUACAAAGCUGUUCUUGUUAAUGCAGCGGCUACUAGAAGUGAUCGAGUCGCGGAUGGUGGAGCAAUCGGAGGAGAGACCGGAAUACAUGAAGGUGUCCUUGGAUAUGUUCUCGUUGAUCUCCUGCGUUAGAGGGACGUUCUUCACCAUAUUCUAGUUUGAUGAAUAAUAAGUUCAAAUGUUGGAUGAAAUUUGUGAUGUUGGAUUAAAUUUGUUUGAAUGUAAUAUUGGAUUAAUAAUGUUUGAAUGAAGAUUCAAAUGUUCGAUGAAAUUUGUGAUGUUGGAUGAAAUUUGUUUGAAUGUAAUAUUGGAUUAAUAAUGUUUGAAUGAAUGUAUGGAUUUUUAUUAUUAAUAUAUGC